AGCCUUUUAACUUGGUUGGUGUAUCGGUCAGAGUUCUCCAGAGAAACAGAACAAAUAGAAUAUUUUCUAGGUUCCACCACACUCUAUAAGUGCUGUGAUUCUGUAUUUAUGGAAAGCUGUUUUCCAGUCUCAAAAGAACUCGAUGAGAGUUUCUGUGUCAAACUUCAUAUAUUUCAAAAUGGACAUUUCCCAAUGCAGUUUGCAUUUCUUCAUCAUUUGUGGGGAGAAAUCAGCUUGCAUGUCCUGAGGACACUCAAACAGCCCUGUGGAGAGGUGCCUGUGGUGAGUUGCUGAGGCCUCCUGCCAAAGGCCGUAUCAACCUUGGAAAUGGAUUCUUCAGCCGCCGUGGGGCCUUGAGAUGACUGCAACCUUGUUCUAGGUCUUGACUGCAACCUCCUAACAGACCCUGAGCUGGAACCACUCAGGUGUGUCACUUCCAUCCUGACCUUCGGAAAAUGUGUGAGAGUACAGAGAAUGGGAAUGAGCCAGCCUGGAUUGUGCUUACUAUUUAGAAAAAGGUGGAAAAUCCUUGGCUCCAUGCACCAGCGCCGCUUCAGUGCCCGGACCUGAAAAAUCAGCCAAUCCCUGAACUGCUGGCUCUCCCUAAAUGUGGCAUGAACUGGGCUCUUUGCUUCAUUCAGAGAUUGUUUUCUGCCAGCAGUUUCCCCUUAGCAAGUG
Myotis brandtii (Brandt's bat) is the source of this 678-nucleotide long non-coding RNA. RefSeq lists it as uncharacterized. The transcript has 5 exons. The record is from RefSeq and is a predicted model, not a curated record. NCBI's taxonomy places the organism in Eukaryota, Metazoa, Chordata, Mammalia, Chiroptera, Vespertilionidae.